RNAcentral lists this ribosomal RNA (255 nucleotides) under uncultured bacterium. Its description in RNAcentral is "partial 16S ribosomal RNA". It matches the Rfam family "Bacterial small subunit ribosomal RNA", at positions 524 to 776 of the family's 1533-position model. The record is from RNAcentral.
UACGUAGGGUGCAGGCGUUAAUCGGAAUUACUGGGCGUAAAGCGUGCGCAGGCGGUCUUUUAAGUCAGAUGUGAAAUCCCCCGGGCUUAACCUGGGAACUGCGUUUGAAACUGGAAGGCUAGAGUGUGGCAGAGGGGGGGUGGAAUUCCACGUGUAGCAGUGAAAUGCGUAGAUAUGUGGAGGAACACCGAUGGCGAAGGCAGCCCCCUGGGCUAACACUGACGCUCAUGCACGAAAGCGUGGGGAGCGAACAGG